AUCUCUGAAAUCUUUCCCAACUUCUUCUUCGACCACUGCAUCAAUUUAAAGACCAUUAAAAUUAUACGGACUUCUGAAUUAGACCAUAUAAUAUUCUGCCUCGAUUAUUUCAAAAAACUUUCUCUUGCCUUCCCUUUAAUCUGCUCUCCAUGUUAUAUCAGAGCCAUCUUGCCAAAUCCAAAUUUUAUCAUGCACUCCUUCCCUAAAGCCCCUGAGUAGCUCUAUAUUGCUUUCAAGAGAAAUUCCUAGGAAUUGCUUUCAAGAGAAAUUCCUGGGUAUUCAGGCACAACCUUCAGUCUUGCAUAUUAGGAAUUAUAUGAGGGCUUUGUGAUAUUAUUUGUACCCACAUACUGAGUGUCCCUUUUUGUCUUUCCAAACUCAUAUACUAUACCAAAACCUUACCAAAUUAUUUUUCCCCAGUUGUCCAUUUUCUUAUGCAUCUAUAUUUUGGGGGAAUGCCUUCAAUCCCUUUGUUCUAGUCCACCUUCUUCACCUGGUCCUGUGUUCUAUAUCAGUUAAGCCAUCACUUCCUCUACCAGCUAUCCUUUCAUGUCUUUCCAUGACCCACCAUUCUUCUCCCCACCUGGGUAUAAGUUUCAUAAUGUAUUAUAAUUGUCCAUUUACAAAUCUGUCUUCCUAGCUCAUACUGAAAACUGCUUGAGGCAAAAUAGCAGGUUUUUGUUCUGUUGAUUCUCUCAUUUUAUCCCAAUUAAAAUUUCACAUUAGGAGUGCCUAAGGAAUUUAUUGUACUCCUCUUGCAAGUGCUACAGCUUAAUGCAACAUCUGCCAGUGUCAUUGGAGGGAUAAAAGCAUAAGCAAAUGAAAAACAAAAUUAAUGAUUCAAACCAUAACUGAAAACUAUCUUCAAAAGUAAUCUUGAAUUUUCAAAAAUGAGAAAGAGUUUGAUGGGGUGAUUGAUCCAAUAUUAGAACCAGUAAAAAUAAUUACAAACAGACUGGUACGAGAAUUUGCAUAUCUUUCUGGGUUGCGAUCUAGUGGCGAAGGGAGCCAGAUGAGGUAUUGGUUCAUGUUGCAGGCAUGACUGCCCAGCAGGUGCUUGCUAUAUAGGCAAGAGGUAGAGGGCAAGAUAAGAUUAGGGAAGGACAUGCACCAUGAUAGGAGAGUCUGAUCUAGUUUUAAAUUCUUCCUUCUUUUGGAAAACAAGGACUGGCGAGUAAGUGCUGGAAACUAGAGAGUAAGAAGUAUCAUAACACUCAGCUCAGUUUUAACAGCUGUUUAAAUAAGAUUGGAUUUAAUACAGUAGAUCUCAAAAAAUUGGUGUAUAUGAGAAUAACCAGGAAUGUUUGAUAAUCAGGACACUCAAGAUGGCUGUUCUUCUGCUCUCAGUACAUCCCCUGUUCAACCAGUCCCUGCCUUACCUACACCCUGACUAAACAUCCCUCUUAAUCAUAGACCCUACCCAGUUAAAUGCCUACAUACUUGCUCCUGGCCCUAGUUAGUGAUUAUUCUAAUCUUCAGAUCAGAACCUACCAAAAUAACUUAUCAAAGGGCAGGGAGGAAUGUGCUCCUCUGCUGUUUGCCUUGGUAACUGAUGAAUCAUCCUGACAUCAUUUGGUAACCACUGUCUCCAUCUGUCUGUCUCCACACUGUCCCAUCCCCACUGCCAGCAAAGACUACUGACAUGGCCUGCCCUAUUUUCUGCCACACAUGAGCCAGGUGUUACUCCAGGACUUUGCUUCAGACAUGUAAAGUCCCCCAUCAUUAAACCAUUGAUGUCUCCAUCACUGACUCUGGGCUUUUUUUUUUUUUUUUUGUCUUGAGGCUGGGCACAAAUAGGGCUUGCAGGCCUAUGGGGUGCGGAACAGCAGUGCUUAACUCAGUACUUAUAAUGCCUUAACUCAGUACUCUUUUAAGAAACUCAUUGUUAAUCAUAUUGUUGUUACAAUUAUCUUCAUCAUUAUUGUCAACAUAACUCUUAUGGUUUUCCCAAUUUACAUUUGUACCUUUUUCUUCCCACCCCACUGAUUACGUAAAAUUUUAAUCCUUUCUAAAUACAGACUUUGUUUUAAUCCCUUCUAAGAAGUUAUUUAAAAUUUAUCUACUCUUAUCCUGAUGACUGGGAGGGUCACUAGUUCCCUAAUGAUAUUAUUCUGUUUUUAUGUACUCUUUUAGAUAUAUAAGAAUAGUAGACUAUCUUCAAUGUAGUGGCUGACAUUUUCUGAUUCAGACUUAAAGUUCUCCUCUAGAUACUUUUGAAAUAGGGUUAUAAAGCUCUUAAAUGUUUCAUGUGUUUUUUUGUGAAUCUUCUGUUUUGUAAAAAAAAUUUAAAUUUUUUUUUUUUUUUUUUUUUUUUUGCUUUUUAGGGCCACACUUACAGCAUAUGGAAGUUUCCAGGCCAGGGGUUGAGUUGGAGUUACAGUUACUGGCCUAUGGACAGCAACAGGGGAUUCGAGCUGCAUCUGUGACCUAUACCAUAGCUCACAGAAACACUGGAUCCUUAAUUCACUGAGUGAGGCCAGGGAUCAAACCAGCAUCCUCAUGGUUACUAGUCUGAUUCAUUUCCAAAGAGCCAUGACGGGAACUCCUGCACCUUCUAAUAAUGUCAUCUAUUCCUUGUCACUACAUCAUCUAAUUUUUCUUCUUUGAAGUUUGAAUUACUCUUCUUUAAAAUUCUGGGGAAUUAUGCUAUCAAAUAUGUCAGUUUCUCCGGACAACACUGGAAUGAGGAGUCAAGCUUUUUAGUUGCCUUCUUACUGUCCAUGUCCUUUAGCCAAAGACCACCAGGAAGUCAUCUGUGGUUGAAAAGUUGAGUUCAUUAUUUAUUACAACGAGGGAGGUAUGUGGCAUAGGGAACCAAGAGUGACUUGUUCAGUAAGUGUUAAAAAGAAUCUCUUAGAGAAUUUGAACUUUGGUUGAGUGAUUUGAGGAGAAGGUUUAAGAAAGUAGAACUUGUCCUGAACUGAAUGUUGUCAGGAAGUAGGAUAAUAUUACAAUUUAGUGCCUUAAUAAACGAUACCUAGAAAGAGGGGAGAUGAAACUGGCUUGAUAAUGAAGCAGGAGUAGCCCAUGUUAGCUGGAAAAGAGGGGCAUGUGGUAUCUGUGGCCUAGACAACACUCAUAAUUGGUCUGUUUUCAGACACAAUUACAGAGACUCUUAUUUUUAUCUUGAUUCCUUGUUAUCAUAGAGUGCCCUGGUCUAGAGCUGAUGUUCUAUGAAAUUGUUUAUGCUCAACAAGAGGAUACCAAGGCCAGGCCGUGAGGGCCAGGCCGUGAGUGCCAGGCCAGUGUUCAGAGAAAACAAGGCCUAAACAGAUAGCACUCAGCCAGGUCCUGGAUAUCAGGGGAUGUUUCCUCUUUCUCAUGAUAAAAUUCUUUGUUUCUUCAGUAAUUAAACCUACUUCCAUGAAAUCCUCUUUGCAUAAUUUUGGUGAUAAAAUCCUAAUAGAGUUUCUUUGUAAUUUCCUCCCUAAGGCCUGUGCUAUGUUCAACACAUGGAGUAUUUUAACACAAGAUUUCACUCCUCUUACGUUAGCAAUAUGAUGAUCAAUAAGAAUCACACAAGGAAGAGAUUAAUCUAUAGUAACUAUAAUGCGCAUAAAUUGUUUAGGAAAUUUAUUAGCUUCUUUUUACUUAUGUGAUUAUGAUAGACUAUUAUUAACAUAAGUCUUGCUUAAAGAAAAGAACAUCUAGUAAAUGAUUCAAGUUCAUGAUUGAAUAACGUUCAACAUUUAAGUAACAUGUGGACUUAAAAUGAGUAGAAAUAUUGACAAAUGUCCUAUGCUAAUCAUUUUCUUUGUAGGUUAUUAUAAGUCUGUAGAAAUGUUCCAGGGUGGGGCUCUGGGAAAAGGCAGAGAUGUAAUAAGGCUGUAUAAAUUAUGCUCAAUUCUGAAAGUCACACAUGAUAAAAAUUAUCUUUCUAUAAUGUACUAUUUAAGAUAUUUGAAAUAUUGUUAAAUAUACCACUUUCUUCAACUUACACAUGUAUGCCUUUUUUUUUUGGUCUUUCUCUCUUUUUAGGGCCACACCUGUGGCAUACAGAGGUUCCCAAGCUAGGGGUCCAAUCGGAGCUAUAACUGCCAGCCUAUACCAAGGCCAUAGCAACGCGGGAUCCGAGCCAUGUCUGCGACCUACACCAUGGCUCACAGCAAUGCCGGAUCCUUAACCCACUGAGCAAGGCCAGGGAUCGAACCUGCGUCCUCAUGGAUGCCAGUCAGGUUCAUUAACCACUGAGCCACGAUGGGAACUCCAUACAUAUGUGCUUUUUAAACAACAGCCAUAUAAUAAAGUCAAGGUUUCUGUCCUACACAUAAGAUUAACCUUUUUCAUCUUUUUUUGAUUGGUUUUAAAAUAGAAUAAUGGCAAUACAAAAGAAAGAGUUAUUUAUUUUCCAACUCUGUUUUAUUUAUCCUAUUGUCUUGUUAAUAACAGAAGCUGUUUUGAUUGAACUUCAUAGAGUUUUCCUGUUAGUUACCUUUGAAGAAAUGCUCUAAAUAAAGACGCUAAUUUUUAACUUUCUUCAUAAUGUUUACCCUUUUGCAUGAUCCUUAUUUCAUCUUUCCUAUUUUCAAGCAAAAUUUGUAGCUAUAUUUUAUGUGAGACAGAAAUAAUAAUUUACUGAACAGGAAAAUGAAAUUGAGAAUGUGAAGUUCCAGUUAAACAUUUUAACUUUUAAUUAGACAAGGCUUAAAUCUUUUCAAAGAUUACAGAUGCCCAUCACAGGCCUAGAUUUGGUUUAAUUCAAGCCUCUUAGAACCACUUUGGAUUCUUAAAUAUGAAUGGUUCAAUAAUUAAAUUAUAGUAGAAUCCUAGUAACAGGUUUAGUUCUUUGUUAACACUAAUAAAAGGGGAAUAAUAUCAAUCAAUAUCCAUUGGUUACUUGGAAAAUUAAUAUUUUCGGGAGUUGGUUCUUCUGUUUUAUGCAGGGCUUAAAUUUGCAUAAUGUCCUUUUGGAUUGUUUCUUCUUUAAUAUUAUUGUCUGGAGGUUGGCUGCAGAUGAACAUUUAUUACUGUUCUUUGUGUUGGUAAAAGGGAGUAUUUUGUGUGCCUAUUUGAAUAGCUUGAAUCUAUUUGAAAAUGAAAAUAAAAGAGGGUUAGAGUCAAUCAGUUUUCUUACCAAAAUAUUUCUGCAGUUGGUGUGUUUUUGCACUCUCGUUACACAUUACAGAUACCCUUAAAAGAGCUCUUGUGUGACUUAAUACCCAAAUAAAACGGCAGCUUUCUCUUUUUUUGCUUACAUCUAAUCCUUGUUUCUCCAGAGCAUGUCAGCCUUGGGGGCAAACAAUAGUAAAGGUUUUAAAGUACUCAGAACAUUUGUUUCCCACUGGCUUUAGGCUUAGAUUCUCUUCUCUCUUUAUCCUAUACUUCCUUAAACUGCCCCAAUGCAUUUAUAUUUAACGUACUUACUGGCCAAACAAUUUAAAUUAUAAACAUGUUCAACAGAAAGCAGCUUCAUAUAAUCACUUUCUUCAUUGCCUCUUCCUGACAAGGUCCAAUUACUGACCAGACUAAGGAAAUCAAAUGAUUGAUGUAUCCUGCUUAUUGCUCCAUGGCCAUUUGUAGCAGAGCCCUCCAUCUCUCGACCUUUGUUCCCCUCCUUUAUCCCCGUUCAUAUUUCUCUCAACUCCCAUGAUGCUGAGUGCUGCCCUGAUUCCACAAAUCCCAGCCUGGAAUGUGAAGUGGAGAAAAUGAGAAAUGAGAAGAUUAAAUACUUCCUAAUAUCAAUGAAGUAUGUGAGUGCCAUUGUUAUCUGCUCUGCUGUUUGCAAAGCAAAUACUAUGUUUGUCGCUUCACCCAGAGCCAAUAUAAAACAGGUGCUGUGUUCCUCAGUUCCUUUGGCCUUUAGCAUUUUGACUCUCCUUUUCCUGGGACUGCUACUUCAGUUCUUAGCCAGUUUCUAUUACUUCCCCUCUUUCUACCCUGUGUCAUGCUCUAAAGCACCAUCACAAACACACACAAAAACCCACAGAAACAAACAAACAAAAAUAAGGCCUGGCAAGUGUAUUUCUCUCACUCUUGAUGAUGGCUGUUAGGACUUUCUUUGCAGUUUUACAGACUUCUUUGCCAUGGCUGCCACCUCGAACUCAACCCAUGUAUCAACUAAUCCAAACUCUAUUUAAAAUGAGUCCACCUGCUCUUCGUUUGACUGCAUACAAGUCUUAAUUCAGAUCCUAUGUGUUUCCAGUGUUAUUUUAUUACUCUUGUAUGUGGAAUCUCAUUCCAACUUACUGCUUUUAGUAAUGAAUGCUCUGGGAGUUCCCAUUGUGGCUUAGUAGGUUACAAAUCUGACUAGUAUACAUGAAGAUGCAGGUGUGAUCCCUGGCCCCUCUCAGUGGGUUAAGGAUCCUGCAUUGCAGCAAGCUGCAGUGUAGGUCACAGAUAAGGCUUGGAUUUUGUGUUGCUGUGGCUGUGGCACAGGCCAGCAGCUGCAGCUAUUAUUCAACCCCUGACUCAUAACUUCCAUAUGCCACAUGUGUAGCCCU
RNAcentral lists this long non-coding RNA (6440 nucleotides) under Sus scrofa (pig). RNAcentral describes it as "lncRNA (ENSSSCG00025076046.1, ENSSSCG00105004525.1)". The record is from RNAcentral. Lineage: Eukaryota; Metazoa; Chordata; Mammalia; Artiodactyla; Suidae.